GCACACACAAAAAACUAGGGUUUCUCAUCUCUCGUUUGAUUUUGUCCGCCGCUCAUCUUCUCAUCCUCUCUCUCUCUAUGGCGAUUCCUGGCGAUUCAUCAGGCCUCUCUCUCGGAUCUCGCCAGAUCUCUCACCAGAUCUAUGAGGAUUUCACCAGAUCGAUGAAGUUUUUUCAGGUUUCAAUAGAUAGGGUUUUGAUCGAUUGGUAGAUCCUUUGUAAUAAUCUAUUUACCAAGCCCAAUAUUGGUCCGCAAAUUAAUGCAUCAACAGUUGGGAAAGCUCUGGUUGUGGAUAUCUGUUGGAGCACUCCUUGGGUUUUUGAUUAUCUUCAACAUAUUCUUUAUCGUAGCACUAACUUCCCUGAAUCCCCCGGUGUGAUGCUAAACCUGUGAUCAGAGAGGAAAAUGAUAUAAAGAAUUCAAAAAAUAACAGCUUACAGUAGGCUCAGCUGGGAUGGUCAAUCACAUGAGCUUUGGUGGACUUCCCGUGAAAACUGAGACAGCUGAAGAAGCUGAUGAACUUAUGAGAGUAGAUGAAAAGGCAUCUGAAGUUGAGGUAGAAGUUCUUUCAGCCCCUCCAAAGUUAGUUUACUGUAAAUUAAUCUUGCGCUUCACUAGAAAGCUAUUGGUGGCUGUAGCAGACAAGUGGGAUAGUCAUGUUCUGGUCAUGGACAAAGUUGCUCCACAAAACUGGAAGGUUUAAACAACAUGCUUGGUUAUUAUGUUAUCUUUAUAGCAAACUCAGUUUUUAGCAAAAUCAGUUGAUCUGUUGUAAAGUGGUUUAAUCAAAUAGAAGAAACAAGUGACAUAGUUGGUUUUGAGAAAGACCAGUUAAUCUGUCUUUUAACUAUUAUAUUUAUCAGUUUUUUCAUGUGGUUUUUUGUUAUUUCAAUCUAAUUUAGAAGUUAUUGAUAUACACAAGGUUUAAAAAAACGGAAACGAGUUUCGAGGCGUUUUCCCUUCGCCUCACGAGGCGUAAGCCUCGAGGCGAACCGAGGCGUAAGCCCGAGGCGGAAUUAAAAAAAUAAAUAUAAAAUUGUAUAUCUUAUAAAAUAAUAAUACUAACUAAAUUCAUCAUCAAAAUCAUCAAAAACAAACAUAAAAAAGACAUAAAUUGCUUGAAAUUGACAUAAAAAGUCAAAAACAAAUAUCAGAAACCCCUGAGGCGCAGCUUUUUUAGCGCCUCAGCCUCUUUGAGGCGCAUGUACACUAGAAACCCCCUGAGGCGUGCCUCAGAGUCGUUUUUUGGGCGUUUCGCCUUGAGGCGCGCCUCGAGGCGCACGCCUCAGCCGUUUUUUAAAACCAUGGAUAUACAGAAUGGAGUCAGCUUACAGGACAUGGGUCAGACAGAAGAAAGAAGGGGUUAAAUCAGUUGAUUUGGAUGAUCUUUGUAGGGAGCUUCAAACUGCUUUAGGCACAACAAAGUGGCAGAGACAAGAAAAAGUGUGUUUGUGAGAGAGAGAGAGAGAGCGACGGGAAGGAGAGUCCUUGGAGAAGGUAGAGGUGGCAAAGGGAACUAGGGUUCUAGCGACGAAUGUCUAUCUAGGUACUCAUUGAGAGUUUGAGACCUCGAAUCCAUCUAUUGCUUAACGAAUCAGGGAUAAUCUUGACAGGUUAUAAAGCUGGAGCCUCAUAUACGGAUGAAUGGGUCAAACGGUUCAAACUGUUGACCCACCCAUAACUUCAAUGUUCGUUCUUAACAACGAAGAGAUCACCUGCAGGCUACAUACGCAAGUUUUGAGGGGACGGGAUGACGGUGGUCAGGCAUCACUCUGGAGCAUAUUUCCAAAAGCAGUUGUCUAUUGUCAUGUUAAAGAGGCCAAGCAAAAUGUAUCAAGUUAAUUUGGCACACAAAGCGGAAGGAGGGAGCCUAAUGACUUCAAGAACUCCAACACAAACCAUGCUGAAUAUCGAAAUGAAGAGGCCAGUCCUGAUUCGUUGAAGCUGGGUCAACCCAUUUUAUUGACCUGUGAGUCUCCUGGCCACGCGAACUAUAACACGGUCGUAUACAGGGACCCAGAAUACUACGCUUAUAGUGUCGAAAAUCCCGAGUGAAGCUGGUGGAAUCUCGAAUAGGUUACUCAUUUGUGAGUAAACUGUGGCGAACAUGAUACCCGUGGCCCAAUAUUGGAAGCAACCGUAACACUGCUUUCAGUUCCUCAACCUGACUCACUGAGCAAAGCCUCCAUGGGUCUAUCGACCCGUUUGUAUGAUCCGUGGGUGCAACCACAGCUGCCUUAUCCAAAAAACUGAAGUGAGCUUUUGGCUAUUCCAGGGGUGAUUAGUUUUAUGCAUCAUAUCCUACAAGGGAGUGAGUUUUUGACUGAUACCUUAAGGCGAGAUUUUGCAUAACGAGGGUUUCUUAUUUCUGUAGCCACUGGUGUUUCUAAGACUACACAAGGGUAAGGAAUGGUAACUCACACAAACAUGGAAGCUUGUGGAUGAAUAUUCUGAUGAUGUAGUCCUUGCCUCCUUGGCUUGGCUCUAAACCCAUCAAGAAUGCGACACCAUUCAAGGGAGGUAGAUUGCACACAAAUGGAAGAGUGAAAAUCGGUCACAACUCAACAUCUUGUAAUGAUGGCCAAAGGACAAUCGGCAUCAUAGACUGGAUGAGAUUUUUUUCUUUCUAUUUUUACUUUAAUUUGGUCCGUCUUUGGGUUUUUAACAACUAAACUUGGACUGUCUUUUGGUUUGUUUAACUUUCUAUUUAAGUUUGAUAUUAUGUGGUAUUUCGACUUUUGAGCGGAGAAAGAAAUAGUUGUUUGGUUUACAUACGAACUGAUUCAGAAAUGGUUGCUUUAUUUUAGUUUA
Helianthus annuus (common sunflower) is the source of this 2810-nucleotide long non-coding RNA. RefSeq lists it as uncharacterized. Lineage: Eukaryota; Viridiplantae; Streptophyta; Magnoliopsida; Asterales; Asteraceae. The record is from RefSeq and is a predicted model, not a curated record. The transcript has 12 exons.